GACGAACGCUGGCGGCGCGCCUAACACAUGCAAGUCGAACGAGCGAGAGAGAGCUUGCUUUCUUGAGCGAGUGGCGAACGGGUGAGUAACGCGUGAGGAACCUGCCUCAAAGAGGGGGACAACAGUUGGAGACGACUGCUAAUACCGCAUAAGCCCACGGUGCCGCAUGGCACAGAGGGAAAAGGAGCAAUCCGCUUUGAGAUGGCCUCGCGUCCGAUUAGCUAGUUGGUGAGGUAACGGCCCACCAAGGCGACGAUCGGUAGCCGGACUGAGAGGUUGAACGGCCACAUUGGGACUGAGACACGGCCCAGACUCCUACGGGAGGCAGCAGUGGGGAAUAUUGCACAAUGGGGGAAACCCUGAUGCAGCGACGCCGCGUGGAGGAAGAAGGUCUUCGGAUUGUAAACUCCUGUUGUUGGGGAAGAUAAUGACGGUACCCAACAAGGAAGUGACGGCUAACUACGUG
This 466-nucleotide ribosomal RNA is filed under the name uncultured bacterium. RNAcentral's name for it is "partial 16S ribosomal RNA". It matches the Rfam family "Bacterial small subunit ribosomal RNA", at positions 28 to 507 of the family's 1533-position model. The record is from RNAcentral.